This 1306-nucleotide long non-coding RNA is filed under the name Taeniopygia guttata (zebra finch). RNAcentral's name for it is "lncRNA (ENSTGUG00000024447.1)". The record is from RNAcentral. Lineage: Eukaryota; Metazoa; Chordata; Aves; Passeriformes; Estrildidae.
CCAAAGAGACCAGGACGACUUAGUUUCCUUUUAAUGUGUUUUCACUUGGUCAAAUCUGAGUUUGAUUAAAGGAAACUACCAAAUGUUCCACUUAUAAUGAAAAUAAAUCUCAGUGUACAUCAUGUAGAUGUCUUCAGAGUCAUCAUUCAACAAAUUAAAUUAAAUAUUUAAGAGCAUAAAAGUUAACACCAGUGAAAGAAAAUCUGCUGCCAUUUUCUUGCUAUAAAUACCUGUGCACUAGAAAAAGUCCUAGAGCUGGAUGUCUCCUGUUCUGACUCGUCUGAGCUGAUAUUAGCUAUUGAAUUUCCAUGCUGGACCUGGGAGUAAAACUACAGAAAACACAGCUUUUCUUAGGGUUCUGGUGCUCUAGAACUUCAAACUUCAUGGAUGCUCCAGUAAAUGAAGAACCGUAUUUGAAAUUACUAGUAGUACUGACCAGGCUGAAAAUACUUAGUGAGCAGGGGAAAAUUAAAACUAUUUCCUUCAUUCAGCGGAAUUUAUUGAAGCCUCUUGCAAGCAGUUCUAUGGGGACUCAAGAGAAAAGUUUGCAAGACUUCUUUUCAACAAAACCUGAUUGUGGGAUGGUAACAGGGAGAGAAGGUCAAGACUGUAAAGUAAGGAGCUACCAUCAGAAUAUGGAUUUGGCCUGUGGUUCAUUCCUUUGCCAGGACAAGAAAUUCUUGGAUGAUCAAAAGCAGGGUGCAAGCCAGUUCAUCUGGAUUGUGCAUUAGGACAACAGCAAGCAAAAAUCCCUGCCUAACUGAAGUGACUGGAAACAGGCCAGUGAAGGAACAAGAGCAAUGCUACCUGCCUGGAAGGGCCAGUCCCAGGUCUCAGUCUGGUUGAAAGGCGGUGUGUACAUUGUAACCUUGAAUACUUGAGAGAAUGCACACACUAAGCAGAAGUGUCCCAAAGCCUGUUCUGUGUCUGAGCUGCUCUGUAUGGGCUGGCAUCUCAGGAGGCAGUGCUACCGUGCUGCACUUUAGGACUCGGUAUCUGUGUAUGUCAGAGUAAGGCAACUGUCCCUAGCCUCAAGCUGAUAUGUAUGUAAUUCUGUCUGAACACAAGGAAACUUAUGUAAUGAGAGUGAUUAAACACUGGAAAAGACUGCCUGUAGAGGCUGAAAAUCUCCAUCCUUGUGACUGUUAGACCCAACUGGAGGAGACCAGACUAGAGCUAGACUGCUCUAGCUGAUCCCACUUGAGCAGGCUGCUGCUCUGGAUGAGUUCCUGAAGUCCCUUCCAACCUCACUGUUGUUGUGAUUAUGUGCCUAUGUUACAGAGAUCUUUGGGGUUGAAGAAGGAGA